Gopherus evgoodei (Goodes thornscrub tortoise) is the source of this 164-nucleotide small nuclear RNA. Its record names the gene U1. It matches the Rfam family "U1 spliceosomal RNA". From Rfam's summary of the family: U1 is a small nuclear RNA (snRNA) component of the spliceosome (involved in pre-mRNA splicing). The record is from Ensembl. Lineage: Eukaryota; Metazoa; Chordata; Testudines; Testudinidae.
AUACUUACCUGGCAGGGGAGAUACCAUGAUCACGAAGGUGGUUUUCCCAGGGUGAGGCUCAUCCAUUGCACUGCGGGUGUGCUGACCCCUGCGAUUUCCCCAAAUGCGGGAAACUCGACUGCAUAUUUUGUGGUAGUGGGGGACUGCGUUCGCGCUCUCCCCUG